CGGUCAGUCGGUCCAGAUCCGGAGAGAAUGUGCAAAUCGCAGAGAGAGAGAGAGAGAGAGAGAAGGAAAAAGUUUUGAAUCCCUGAAUGAAUUUGUAGAAAGGCGGCUUAGGAUCAUUAUGUCAGCUUUAUUGAGGAAGGAUUAAGCAGAGUCUAGAUGCUACGCCUUAUACUCGGCUCUUUCACAAUGAGG
This 192-nucleotide long non-coding RNA is filed under the name Xiphophorus couchianus (Monterrey platyfish). RNAcentral describes it as "Six3os1 conserved region 7 (ENSXCOG00000003263.1)". It matches the Rfam family "Six3os1 conserved region 7". The record is from RNAcentral. Lineage: Eukaryota; Metazoa; Chordata; Actinopteri; Cyprinodontiformes; Poeciliidae.